AGGGUUUGAUCAUGGCUCAGGACGAACGCUGGCGGCGUGCCUAACACAUGCAAGUCGAACGGGGUUAUUUGAGAGCUUGCUUUUGGAUAACCUAGUGGCGGACGGGUGAGUAACGCGUGAGUAACCUGCCUUUCAGAGGGGAAUAACAAUCUGAAAAGAUUGCUAAUACCGCAUAACAUCUAAUUGUCGCAUGGCAGAUAGAUCAAAGGAGCAAUCCGCUGAGAGAUGGACUCGCGUCCGAUUAACUAGUUGGAGGGGUAACGGCCCACCAAGGUGACGAUCGGUAGCCGGACUGAGAGGUUGAACGGCCACAUUGGGACUGAGACACGGCCCAG
RNAcentral lists this ribosomal RNA (335 nucleotides) under uncultured bacterium. Its description in RNAcentral is "bacterial SSU rRNA". It matches the Rfam family "Bacterial small subunit ribosomal RNA", at positions 8 to 334 of the family's 1533-position model. The record is from RNAcentral.